CCUACGGGAGGCAGCAGUGGGGAAUAUUGGGCAAUGGGCGCAAGCCUGACCCAGCAAUGCCGCGUGAAGGAAGAAGGCUUUCGGGUUGUAAACUUCUUUGACAGGGGAAGAGCAGAAGACGGUACCCUGAAAACAAGCCACGGCUAACUACGUGCCAGCAGCCGCGGUAAUACGUAGGUGGCAAGCGUUGUCCGGAUUUACUGGGUGGAAAGGGCGUGUAGCCGGGAAGGCAAGUCAGAUGUGAAAUCUGGAGGCUCAACCUCCAAAUUGCAUUUGAAACUGGCAGCCUUGAGUACAGUUGAGGUAGGCGGAAUUCGUGGUGUAGCGGUGAAAUGCGUAGAUAUUAGGAGGAACACCAGUGGCGAAGGCGGUCUGCUGGACAGCAACUGACGGUGAGGCGCGAAAGCGUGGGGAGCAAACAGGAUUAGAUACCCCGGUAGUC
Molecule: ribosomal RNA, 442 nt
Filed under: uncultured bacterium
Lineage: Bacteria
Description: partial 16S ribosomal RNA
Rfam family: Bacterial small subunit ribosomal RNA
Source: RNAcentral